UCUGGUGGUUUAACGCCAUGGAUCUACCUCUUCCCAUUCCGAACAGAGUCGUAAAACGUGGUAGUGGCGAUGAUACUGUCCCCCUUGCGGGGGCGGGAAAGUAGCUAACCGCCAGUU
RNAcentral lists this ribosomal RNA (117 nucleotides) under Candidatus Ryanbacteria bacterium CG10_big_fil_rev_8_21_14_0_10_43_42. The record is from RNAcentral. Lineage: Bacteria; Candidatus Ryaniibacteriota.